UAUAGCGUUGGCGCAUCACAUAAAUAUAUUACGUAAGAUCAUAAUGUAUAGUGGCGGACAGUGAAUAACUCUUUAAUAUUUAGUGUAUGUGUACGAUACAGAAUGAUCUUAUCUGAAUUAUCAGCCACCACGAUUUUUAAGCAAGAGUGUCUGAUGGUGAGCGUACAGGCAUUUAAAAAAUCUGUUAUUUAAAUAAAUUAGCUAAUUCGAAGUUUGUUAUAUGAAUCUAAUUUGAACUAAUCACUUUUGUUCCUAAACAAAUUCUCAUUUGUUGACAUUCUAUUGACAGUAUGAAAUAUUCUAGACACCGCCAUAGUCAUCUAAUCCUAAUCACUCAAACUCUAUUCAUAUAUGUGGCAUAUUUUAUGUCAUAAUUGUAGUUCAGGUGCCGAGAGCUAAUUUAUAUUGUAAUCAGGCAACCUGGUUUAUAUCGAAAUCAACAAAGGAAUAUCCCCCUAAGAAAGAAGUUAGUCGUCAGCCACUCUAGUUUCAGUGGAGGAGUUCUAACCACGCAAUAUCGGAUAACAUUGCAUAAUGCGUCACGUGGUCAGAAUGGACCAGCAUUACUAUUAUCAAAAACGAUCGGUAGUAAACAGCGGAUACAUAAAAUGAUAUAGUACAGAUAGUACAACUUCUAUUGUUGCGUAUUGCUUUGAACUCCACUCACUGCCUUGUUUAUCACACCACAGUGGCUGCCCGACGUAUGUCUCUACAACAUGCCGGUGAUCGCUCCGGUCUUCGUUGUACUGUUCUUCAUUUUCUGCGUGGUUGCUGGAAAUUAUUGGUGCUAAAGAUGUUCCUUUAGCUGGCCUUAUUUUUCAACAGGAAACUCCGCCAUGCCUCCAUCUCCAAAACUGCGAUAGGCCCUCAAGGUCAACUUCCGCUGAACAUUCCAAACUUCUGAUACUAAUAAGCAUCAAGAACUUUUACACAUCACCACUUACUGUUAAUUUAUUACAAAUAAAUAUGAAGUAAUCAAGUU
Molecule: long non-coding RNA, 982 nt
Organism: Homalodisca vitripennis (glassy-winged sharpshooter)
Lineage: Eukaryota; Metazoa; Arthropoda; Insecta; Hemiptera; Cicadellidae
Exons: 2
Source: RefSeq, a predicted model, not a curated record